Molecule: ribosomal RNA, 253 nt
Filed under: uncultured bacterium
Lineage: Bacteria
Description: partial 16S ribosomal RNA
Rfam family: Bacterial small subunit ribosomal RNA
Source: RNAcentral
UACGAAGGGGGCUAGCGUUGUUCGGAAUCACUGGGCGUAAAGGGCGCGUAGGCGGCCGAUCAAGUCGGGGGUGAAAGCCUGUGGCUUAACCACAGAAUGGCCUUCGAUACUGUUUGGCUUGAGACCGGAAGAGGUUAGUGGAACUGCGAGUGUAGAGGUGAAAUUCGUAGAUAUUCGGAAGAACACCAGUGGCGAAGGCGACUUACUGGACGACUGUUGACGCUGAGGUGCGAAAGCGUGGGGAGCAAACAGG